UGGGGAAUUUUGGACAAUGGGCGCAAGCCUGAUCCAGCCAUGCCGCGUGCGGGAAGAAGGUCUUCGGGUUGUAAACCGCUUUUGUCAGGGAAGAAAUCUUCUGAGUUAAUACCUCGGGAGGAUGACGGUACCUGAAGAAUAAGCACCGGCUAACUACGUGCCAGCAGCCGCGGUAAUACGUAGGGUGCAAGCGUUAAUCGGAAUUACUGGGCGUAAAGCGUGCGCAGGCGGUUUUGUAAGACAGAGGUGAAAUCCCCGGGCUCAACCUGGGAACUGCCUUUGUGACUGCAAGGCUUGAGUGCGGCAGAGGGGGAUGGAAUUCCGCGUGUAGCAGUGAAAUGCGUAGAUAUGCGGAGGAACACCGAUGGCGAAGGCAAUCCCCUGGGCCUGCACUGACGCUCAUGCACGAAAGCGUGGGGAGCAAACAGGAUUAGAUACCCUGGUAGUCCACGCCCUAAACGAUGUCAACUGGUUGUUGGGAAGGUUCCUUCUCAGUAACGUAGCUAACGCGUGAAGUUGACCGCCUGGGGAGUACGGCCGCAAGGUUGAAACUCAAAGGAA
Molecule: ribosomal RNA, 561 nt
Filed under: uncultured bacterium
Lineage: Bacteria
Description: partial 16S ribosomal RNA
Rfam family: Bacterial small subunit ribosomal RNA
Source: RNAcentral